AGUGAACGCUGGCGGUAGGCCUAACACAUGCAAGUCGAACGGCAGCACAAUAAGAGCUUGCUCUUACGGGUGGCGAGUGACGGAUGGGUGAGAAAUACAUCGGAAUCUACUUUUUCGUGGGGGAUAACGUAGGGAAACUUACGCUAAUACCGCAUACGACCUACGGGUGAAAGCAGGGGAUCUUCGGACCUUGCGCGAUUGAAUGAGCCGAUGUCGGAUUAGCUAGUUGGCGGGGUAAAGGCACACCAAGGCGACGAUCCGUAGCUGGUCUGAGAGGAUGAUCAGCCACACUGGAACUGAGACACGGUCCAGACUCCUACGGGAGGCAGCAGUGGGGAAUAUUGGGCAAUGGGCGCAAGCCUGAUCCAGCCAUACCGCGUGGGUGAAGAAGGCCUUCGGGUUGUAAAGCCCUUUUGUUGGGAAAGAAAAGCAGCAGGUUAAAACCCCGCUGUUCUGACGGUACCCAAAGAAUAAGCACCGGCUAACUUCGUG
RNAcentral lists this ribosomal RNA (492 nucleotides) under uncultured bacterium. Its description in RNAcentral is "partial 16S ribosomal RNA". It matches the Rfam family "Bacterial small subunit ribosomal RNA", at positions 29 to 507 of the family's 1533-position model. The record is from RNAcentral.